AGGAAAACUUACAGGGGAAGGGUGAGAACCUUUGAUAAGGUUCGAGUCGAGCGAUAGCGAGACAACGUUGCCGCACCCACCGCCCCGCCGCCCCCCCACCGCACCCCCGACCCACCCCCCCCCCCCCACCC
RNAcentral lists this small RNA (131 nucleotides) under Cronobacter sakazakii. Its description in RNAcentral is "RtT sRNA". It matches the Rfam family "RtT RNA". Rfam says of the family: This family represents a bacterial cis-regulatory element known as RtT RNA. The exact function of RtT is unknown although it is thought that it may be involved in changing the cellular response in relation to amino acid starvation. The record is from RNAcentral. Lineage: Bacteria; Pseudomonadati; Pseudomonadota; Gammaproteobacteria; Enterobacterales; Enterobacteriaceae.